UACGUAGGUGGCAAGCGUUGUCCGGAAUUACUGGGCGUAAAGGGUGCGUAGGCGGUUAUUUAAGUCAGAUGUGAAAUUCCAGGGCUCAACCUUGGAACUGCAUUUGAAACUGGAUAUCUAGAGUGCAGGAGAGGAAAGCGGAAUUCCUAGUGUAGCGGUGAAAUGCGUAGAUAUUAGGAAGAACACCAGUGGCGAAGGCGGCUUUCUGGACUGUAACUGACGCUGAGGCACGAAAGCGUGGGGAGCAAACAGG
This 253-nucleotide ribosomal RNA is filed under the name Clostridiaceae bacterium. RNAcentral's name for it is "partial 16S ribosomal RNA". It matches the Rfam family "Bacterial small subunit ribosomal RNA", at positions 524 to 776 of the family's 1533-position model. Lineage: Bacteria; Bacillati; Bacillota; Clostridia; Eubacteriales; Clostridiaceae. The record is from RNAcentral. RNAcentral also lists the same sequence under 1 other name.